This is a ribosomal RNA of 325 nucleotides. It matches the Rfam family "Bacterial small subunit ribosomal RNA", at positions 32 to 355 of the family's 1533-position model.
GUAACGCUGGCGGCGUGCUUAACACAUGCAAGUCGAACGAUGAAGCCCAGCUUGCUGGGUGGAUUAGUGGCGAACGGGUGAGUAACACGUGAGUAACCUGCCCCCGACUCUGGGAUAAGCCCGGGAAACUGGGUCUAAUACCGGAUAUGACCAUGGAACGCAUGUUUUGUGGUGGAAAGAUUUAUCGGUGGGGGAUGGACUCGCGGCCUAUCAGCUUGUUGGUGAGGUAAUGGCUCACCAAGGCGACGACGGGUAGCCGGCCUGAGAGGGUGACCGGCCACACUGGGACUGAGACACGGCCCAGACUCCUACGGGAGGCAGCAGU